UACGUAGGGGGCUAGCGUUGUCCGGAUUUAUUGGGCGUAAAGAGCGUGUAGGCGGCCAGGUAGGUCUGGUGUGAAAACUCGAGGCUUACCAUCGAGAUGUCAUCGGAAACCAAUCUGGCUAGAGUCCGGAAGAGGAGAGUGGAAUUCCCGGUGUAGCGGUGAAAUGCGCAGAUAUCGGGAAGAACACCUAUGGCGAAGGCAGCUCUCUGGGACGGUACUGACGCUGAGGAGCGAAAGCCAGGGGAGCAAACGGG
Molecule: ribosomal RNA, 254 nt
Filed under: uncultured bacterium
Lineage: Bacteria
Description: partial 16S ribosomal RNA
Rfam family: Bacterial small subunit ribosomal RNA
Source: RNAcentral